UAUCAUGGCUCAAGAUGAACGCUAGCUACAGGCUUAACACAUGCAAGUCGAGGGGCAGCAUGAAAGUUUGCUUGCAAACUUUUGAUGGCGACCGGCGCACGGGUGAGUAACACGUAUCCAACCUGCCUCAUACUCGGGGAUAGCCUUUCGAAAGAAAGAUUAAUACCCGAUGUCAUAGUCCUACCGCAUGAUGGGAUUAUUAAAGA
RNAcentral lists this ribosomal RNA (206 nucleotides) under uncultured Bacteroides sp. RNAcentral describes it as "partial 16S ribosomal RNA". It matches the Rfam family "Bacterial small subunit ribosomal RNA", at positions 15 to 207 of the family's 1533-position model. The record is from RNAcentral. Lineage: Bacteria; Pseudomonadati; Bacteroidota; Bacteroidia; Bacteroidales; Bacteroidaceae.